This 91-nucleotide transfer RNA is filed under the name Caulobacteraceae bacterium. Its description in RNAcentral is "tRNA-Ile". It matches the Rfam family "tRNA". Rfam says of the family: Transfer RNA (tRNA) molecules are approximately 80 nucleotides in length. Their secondary structure includes four short double-helical elements and three loops (D, anti-codon, and T loops). The record is from RNAcentral. Lineage: Bacteria; Pseudomonadati; Pseudomonadota; Alphaproteobacteria; Caulobacterales; Caulobacteraceae.
GCCUCCGUCGUCUAACUGGUUAAGACCCACGACUUAUACUCGUGAAGCUCUAGAUGUGAGCGCAAUAUUGGUUCGAAUCCAAUCGGAGGUA